Molecule: ribosomal RNA, 259 nt
Filed under: uncultured bacterium
Lineage: Bacteria
Description: partial 16S ribosomal RNA
Rfam family: Bacterial small subunit ribosomal RNA
Source: RNAcentral
UUGGCGGACGGGUGAGUAACGCGUGGAAAACCUGCCGUAUACUGGGGGAUAACACUUAGAAAUAGGUGCUAAUACCGCAUAAGCGCACAGCUUCGCAUGAAGCGGUGUGAAAAACUCUGGUGGUAUACGAUGGUUCCGCGUCUGAUUAGCUAGUUGGUGGGGUAAUGGCCUACCAAGGCAACGAUCAGUAGCCGGCCUGAGAGGGUGAACGGCCACAUUGGGACUGAGACACGGCCCAAACUCCUACGGAAGGCAGCAG